This 254-nucleotide ribosomal RNA is filed under the name uncultured Singulisphaera sp. RNAcentral's name for it is "partial 16S ribosomal RNA". It matches the Rfam family "Bacterial small subunit ribosomal RNA", at positions 524 to 776 of the family's 1533-position model. Lineage: Bacteria; Pseudomonadati; Planctomycetota; Planctomycetia; Isosphaerales; Isosphaeraceae. The record is from RNAcentral.
GACGAACCGUGCGAACGUUAUUCGGAAUCACUGGGCUUAAAGCGCGUGUAGGCGGGACGGCACGUCGGUCGCUGAAAUCCCCCGGCUUAACCGGGGAACGGGCGCCGAUACGACCGCCCUCGAGGAGCGUAGGGGGAGCUGGAACUUCCGGUGGAGCGGUGAAAUGCGUUGAGAUCGGAAGGAACGCCCGUGGCGAAAGCGAGCUCCUGGACGUUAUCUGACGCUGAGACGCGAAAGCCAGGGGAGCGAACGGG